Molecule: ribosomal RNA, 587 nt
Filed under: uncultured bacterium
Lineage: Bacteria
Description: bacterial SSU rRNA
Rfam family: Bacterial small subunit ribosomal RNA
Source: RNAcentral
UCUACCGAGUAGUGGGGGAUAGCCAUUGGAAACGAUGAUUAAUACCGCAUAUAUCCUACGGGGGAAAGCAGGGGACCUUCGGGCCUUGCGCUAUUCGAUGAGCCUGAGUGAGAUUAGCUAGUUGGUGGGGUAAAGGCCUACCAAGGCGACGAUCUCUAGCUGGUCUGAGAGGAUGAUCAGCCACACUGGGACUGAGACACGGCCCAGACUCCUACGGGAGGCAGCAGUGGGGAAUAUUGCACAAUGGACGAAAGUCUGAUGCAGCCAUGCCGCGUGUGUGAAGAAGGCCUUCGGGUUGUAAAGCACUUUCAGCGAGGAGGAAAGGUCAGUAAGUAAUAUUUGCUGGCUGUGACGUUACUCGCAGAAGAAGCACCGGCUAAUUUAGUGCCAGCAGCCGCGGUAAUACUAAAGGUGCAAGCGUUAAUCGGAAUUACUGGGCGUAAAGCGCGCGUAGGUGGUUUGUUAAGUUGGAUGUGAAAGCCCAGGGCUCAACCUUGGAACUGCAUUCAAAACUGACUCACUAGAGUACGAGAGAGGUUAGUGGAAUUUCCUGUGUAGCGGUGAAAUGCGUAGAGAUGGGAAGGAAC